AACCAGGAAAGUGCUUUACAGUACUUAAGAUUUUUUAUUUUGAAAAGUACAAAUUGGGAGGAUCAGCCAAACAAAGAGAUGAAUAGGACAAGAUCUGGGAAGGAAUGCAGAUCUGUGUCCUAUCCUCAUGGUUCAGUGCAUACCACCAUCUUGGUACAUCAAUGUGUUCACCAACCACAAAGUGCUAUUGUCAAGAGUUUCUAUUGGAGUUUCACUUCAUAAGCACUACUGACUAUUGGACAAGGCUUGAACUCUGUCUUGACUCCCACUGCCUUCCUCAGAGGUUGGAAGGUUGGACUGAUACUACCUGUCUCACAGCCUCAACCCUCUAGUCAUAUGAUUGAUCUUUUUCCAUGACCAACUCCAUUUUAAAGUUUUUCUAGGGCCUUGCAUGAAGUGCCUAUUAGCAUAAUAAAGAUACUAAAUAAUGCCCUAAAUUCCAAGGAUUUAUAUUUUUUUCUCCCCAGAACCUGGAAAAAAGUUCAGAGAAAUUUUGCUUUGGAACAGAGUCAAUCACACGUGUCUCUACCCUCAGUGAUGUGCUUGAGCUAGAAUGAAAUCUAGUAAGAUUUCAACCAUAAAGUUGCACAAGAGCUGAUCCCAGAAGUCAGAGAAGGUGGAGAGACAGUUCCAUGAGUUCCAUAACAUCAAUAUGGAGCUGGCAGAUGCCCCAGCCCAACAAGAUGAAACAAUAGAGUGUGCACACUGUGCAGCUUGUGAUGGUGUCAUGACAGAAUGGGACCUGGCUUCCUGGACAGGACAGUCCCUUCAGAAAGCAAUGAAUGCUGUUUCAUUUUGACCUUCAGAUAAUGGGAAAACCUGUCUUGUGAUCAACCUUAACGUGCAACCAUAAAGGGAAGGGAACUCUGGGAAUUGACAUUCCGGGUUAUAUAAAUUGACACAUUUCUCCAUUGACUAGAGAGUGUUGAGUACAUUUCUAUGUUUGAAUAUGGUUCAGUGGCCCCCACCCCAAGGGCUCACAUUUUGAAAUUUAAUCACAUUGCUUAAGAGAGUGGAAAGUUCAAUUCUGGUAUUAAAGGUGAGGAUUUGGGAAAGUAAGUAACUAGGAUGAAAAUCAUUAGGCUGGAGCCUGUGAUUGAAUCCUGGUAGGUUCAGAAGAACAUGACCAGAGCAGGCACACAUGUGCAUACACUCCCCAUCUCUUGCUACAUGAUGUUCUAUGCAGCCUCAGGACUCUGCCAGCAAGGUCAUAACUAGACACAGCUUGCCAAUCUUGCAUCUCCAGAACUGUGAGCCAAAAUAAAUAUUUUGUUAUAACUCACCCGGUCUAUGGUGUUGUGUUACUGACAAUAGAAAAUGGACUCUUUCUGUCUUUCUCUCUCUCUCUUUUUGCUGUUAAGAAUAAUGCAGCAAUAAUAUUGAUGACAUAAUGAACUUAUAAAAUAGUCUCAUAAGUGGA
RNAcentral lists this long non-coding RNA (1420 nucleotides) under Heterocephalus glaber (naked mole-rat). RNAcentral describes it as "lncRNA (ENSHGLG00000048541.1)". The record is from RNAcentral. Lineage: Eukaryota; Metazoa; Chordata; Mammalia; Rodentia; Bathyergidae.